UGUUCUAACGUGGACCCGUAAUCCGGGUUGCGGACAGUGUCUGGUGGGUAGUUUGACUGGGGCGGUCUCCUCCUAAAGAGUAACGGAGGAGCACGAAGGUUGGCUAAUCCUGGUCGGACAUCAGGAGGUUAGUGCAAUGGCAUAAGCCAGCUUGACUGCGAGCGUGACGGCGCGAGCAGGUGCGAAAGCAGGUCAUAGUGAUCCGGUGGUUCUGAAUGGAAGGGCCAUCGCUCAACGGAUAAAAGGUACUCCGGGGAUAACAGGCUGAUACCGCCCAAGAGUUCAUAUCGACGGCGGUGUUUGGCACCUCGAUGUCGGCUCAUCACAUCCUGGGGCUGAAGUAGGUCCCAAGGGUAUGGCUGUUCGCCAUUUAAAGUGGUACGCGAGCUGGGUUUAGAACGUCGUGAGACAGUUCGGUCCCUAUCUGCCGUGGGCGCUGGAGAACUGAGGGGGGCUGCUCCUAGUACGAGAGGACCGGAGUGGACGCAUCACUGGUGUUCGGGUUGUCAUGCCAAUGGCACUGCCCGGUAGCUAAAUGCGGAAGAGAUAAGUGCUGAAAGCAUCUAAGCACGAAACUUGCCCCGAGAUGAGUUCUCCCUGAGACUUAGAGUCUCCUGAAGGAACGUUGAAGACGACGACGUUGAUAGGCCGGGUGUGUAAGCGCAGCGAUGCGUUGAGCUAACCGGUACUAAUGAACCGUGAGGCUUAACCUUAC
This 715-nucleotide ribosomal RNA is filed under the name Salmonella enterica subsp. enterica serovar Thompson. RNAcentral's name for it is "partial 23S ribosomal RNA". It matches the Rfam family "Bacterial large subunit ribosomal RNA", at positions 2218 to 2925 of the family's 2925-position model. RNAcentral also lists the same sequence under 1 other name. Lineage: Bacteria; Pseudomonadati; Pseudomonadota; Gammaproteobacteria; Enterobacterales; Enterobacteriaceae. The record is from RNAcentral.